CCUACGGGAGGCAGCAGUGAGGAAUAUUGGUCAAUGGGCGAGAGCCUGAACCAGCCAAGUCGCGUGAAGGAUGAAGGAGCUAUGGUUUGUAAACUUCUUUUAUAUGGGGAUAAAGUGAGGAACGUGUUCCUUAUUGUAGGUACCAUAUGAAUAAGCAUCGGCUAACUCCGUGCCAGCAGCCGCGGUAAUACGGAGGAUGCGAGCGUUAUCCGGAUUUAUUGGGUUUAAAGGGUGCGUAGGUGGGUAAGUAAGUCAGCGGUGAAAGUUUGGGGCUCAACCAUAAACUAGCCGUUGAAACUGGUUGACUUGAGUAUACUUGAGGUAGGCGGAAUGCGUGGUGUAGCGGUGAAAUGCAUAGAUAUUACGCAGAACUCCGAUUGCGAAGGCAGCUUACUAACCUAUAUCUGACACUGAGGCACGAAAGCGUGGGGAUCAAACAGGAUUAGAUACCCGAGUAGUC
This 460-nucleotide ribosomal RNA is filed under the name uncultured bacterium. RNAcentral's name for it is "partial 16S ribosomal RNA". It matches the Rfam family "Bacterial small subunit ribosomal RNA", at positions 338 to 795 of the family's 1533-position model. The record is from RNAcentral.